Molecule: long non-coding RNA, 1289 nt
Filed under: Gopherus agassizii (Agassiz's desert tortoise)
Lineage: Eukaryota; Metazoa; Chordata; Testudines; Testudinidae
Description: lncRNA (ENSGAGG00000013999.1)
Source: RNAcentral
CAGCUAUAUUCCCAAGUGCAAAUAUUGCAAUUGUGGUCCAGCCCUGGUACUCACUUCCACUCUAUCCUCAGUGCACUUGUACAGGCCCAAACAUAAUUCAAUUUUUUAAAAGCAGUGAUCUACUAAAACUUUAAGGAUUAUGUUUGUAGGCAACCUGAUGGGACUUAAUUGAAAUUUGCUGCUUUUUUUGUUUCAAGUUGUGGGGUUUUUGGAGCAGGACAAAUUCCAAAAAUUAGGGGUACUUCAUUAAGAUUUGAAUAAAGAAUAAUUUAAAAGUUUUUUCAUGAGCACUGAAGCUCGGACUAAAAAUAUAACAAACUAGUACAAAUGUUUUAGAAAGUAGACAUUUAGCAUUCAUUUAUAGAGCCAAUGUGUAAUACUGCAACAUAAAGAGUUUAUGUGUACUCAAAAUUCCUUACGGGUAAUUCUUUUAAUGAUUUUUUCCACAGGCUAGGAAUCAAACAAUGCUGCUGCUUCCAGUAUUCAACACUUUUGUCUUGGGAUUAACUCUGGUGAUGACUUCCACCUCAAAUCCUGCUCAGGGUGUCCAAAAACUGGAUCAGGAUGCAUGUAUACUAGUUGUGCGCAGACCUGCUCAGAACGGACUAGCAGGAAGAGAUGGAAAAGAUCGCCCUAAAGGUGAAAAGGGAGAUCAAGGAUUAAGAGGGAUACCAGGUCUUCCAGGAAAGGAUGGAUCCCCUGUACCAAAAGGAGACAGAGGUGCAGAAGGACCAAAGGGAGACUGUGGAGGCAGAGGUAAGCAGUGCCCCCCUUUUGAGGGAAGGUAAAGAAGAAGCCCAACAGGGCAGACAGAGAGACCUUUAUGGAUGUUUGAAUGGUUUUCAUUUCAUAAAUGUUCCAGUAGGGCUUUGCUGCUGAUUUCUGAGCGAGGGAGAAAUAUUCAGAGGAGGGCACUGGGGAAACCAGUCAGUCUGAUUUUCAAGGGAGAGAAGUGAGUGAGCCUCCAGGGUUACCAAAAGUUGCUCUGAUGAACUCAAACAUCCUAUACGAGAGAAACACCACAGUGAUGGGUACCUGAUCCCUGGGUUCAUGGGAUGAAGGAUGUGCUUCUAAUUUUUAAAGAAAUUGAAAAGCUAGCAUUGCUGCAGGUGCUACUGAGAAUUGCACUCAAGAGGUAGUUUUAUUUUCAGUGGACUUCUGGCCCACAGAACCUCAGUUUUAAACUUGUUAUAUCUUCUUGAGGAACCAAGAAAUCAAAAACAGUAUCUUUGGUGUUACACUUGUGAUUCACUACUAGUUCUGGAGGUGACGUUUCUGGCUUUUUUAAG